UGAGCUCAUACGAGCAACAUAUCAUAAAUGGGAACCACCAGAAGGGGUCAAGAAAAGGAUACGGAGGAAGACUACUUACUUCAACCCAUACGACCACCGGGAGGCAGGAGAAGACCCCCUAGCAACAGCCGGAUCAUGCACAGACGAACGGUAUAAAAGAGCAGAAGCAAGGGGGUGUUACAGCAUCAACAAAAGAAUAGCUGAAGACCCCAGUAACAACAAAUGAGACAUGCGCAGAGUACCCUGGAAAUACCACGGCAGUCAUUUGGAACCACAUAAAAGAACGGCCCCAAUCUUCGGGUGGCGCGGCAGUUGGCAGGACAGAGAUCCCCCUGUCGCCCAGCGCUGCAUUGCCUCUUUGUUCUUUGCUCAUUAUAAUUAAUAAAUUCAACAAUUGACUCCUUAAA
Molecule: long non-coding RNA, 407 nt
Organism: Tympanuchus pallidicinctus (lesser prairie-chicken)
Lineage: Eukaryota; Metazoa; Chordata; Aves; Galliformes; Phasianidae
Exons: 2
Source: RefSeq, a predicted model, not a curated record